UUUCCGUAGGUGAACCUGCGGAAGGAUCAUUAUUGAAUGAAACACGUCUUGCUUUAUGCUGUUGUGUUGGAUCUUUGGGCAAUGUGCACACGGCUCUUUUCACUUGUUUCUUCUGUUCCACCUGUGCACUGCCUGUCGACACCCUGUGUCUAUGAUAUUUGUUAACACACAACAAUGUUCGUUGGCAUGUUAUGUAUAAUAAUAAAAUAUACAACUUUCAACAACGGAUCUCUUGGCUCUC
Molecule: unclassified non-coding RNA, 241 nt
Filed under: plant metagenome
Description: partial contains small subunit ribosomal RNA, internal transcribed spacer 1, and 5.8S ribosomal RNA
Source: RNAcentral